UGUGUGCCCAAGCAUUGAGGCAGUCAAAGUAGGCAAAUCCGCUUUGAUAAUGCUGGGAUGUGAUGGGGAGCGAAAUUUAGUAGCGAAGUAGCUGAUUUCACACUGUCAAGAAAAGUCUCUAUCGAGGUUAAAGGUACCCGUACCGCAAACCGACACAGGUGGGUGAGGAGAGUAUCCUAAGGCCAGCGAGAGAACUGUUGUUAAGGAACUCGGCAAAAUGACCCCGUAACUUAGGGAUAAGGGGUGCCACCAUCAGGUGGCCGCAGGGAAUAGGCCCAAGCGACUGUUUACCAAAAACAUAGGUUUCUGCUAAGUCGCAAGACGAUGUAUAGGAGCUGACGCCUGCCCGGUGCUGGAAGGUUAAGGGGAUCUGUUAGAGCAAUCGAAGCAGUGA
RNAcentral lists this ribosomal RNA (394 nucleotides) under Clostridioides difficile. RNAcentral's name for it is "partial 23S ribosomal RNA". It matches the Rfam family "Bacterial large subunit ribosomal RNA", at positions 1505 to 1910 of the family's 2925-position model. Lineage: Bacteria; Bacillati; Bacillota; Clostridia; Peptostreptococcales; Peptostreptococcaceae. The record is from RNAcentral.